Molecule: ribosomal RNA, 493 nt
Filed under: uncultured bacterium
Lineage: Bacteria
Description: bacterial SSU rRNA
Rfam family: Bacterial small subunit ribosomal RNA
Source: RNAcentral
UCCUGGCUCAGAUUGAACGCUGGCGGCAUGCCUUACACAUGCAAGUCGAACGGUAACGGGCCUUCGGGUGCCGACGAGUGGCGAACGGGUGAGUAAUGCAUCGGAACGUACCUUCAGUGGGGGAUAACGUAGCGAAAGUUACGCUAAUACCGCAUAUUCUGUGAGCAGGAAAGCAGGGGAUCGCAAGACCUUGCGCUGAUUGAGCGGCCGAUGUCAGAUUAGCUAGUUGGUGAGGUAAAGGCUCACCAAGGCGACGAUCUGUAGCGGGGUCUGAGAGGAUGAUCCGCCACACUGGAACUGAGACACGGUCCAGACUCCUACGGGAGGCAGCAGUGGGGAAUUUUGGACAAUGGGGGCAACCCUGAUCCAGCCAUGCCGCGUGAGUGAAGAAGGCCUUCGGGUUGUAAAGCUCUUUCGGCCGGGAAGAAAUCGCAUGGGUUAAUACCCUGUGCGGAUGACGGUACCGGCAUAAGAAGCACCGGCUAACUACGUG